AAACACAACUCAUGAAGGACCCUUGGGCAAAAUCAAAGUGGAAGCCCUCCAAACGAAUAUUUUUAAGAAAACGUUUUUGGGUGACCUGACUUUGAGGGGAAAAAACGGUAUAAUAAGUUUGGAAUUUGGAAAAAUACCAAGAAAUAGAAGUUGUAGAUAAUUUAAUUAGCUUUCCAACCAUAGGUCGUGGGUUCCCAGGUGACGUCGGUACAAGGAGAUGUGCACGUUUUAAGGUCGAAAGGUCAGUGGGCUAGACCCAACUCGGGACCAACCGGGUUGGCCCAAAAAAAAAAAAAAAAGAAGAAAAACAAAAGAGGCCCAAUUUUCAUGGGGUGGCCGGCCAUGGUCAUUAAAAGGGGCCCAAGCCCAUGAAAAAAAAAAUUAGAAUCAAAUAAAUAAGAUGAGCCAUUAGUCAUCUUUAUUUUGGAAGAUUCAAGAAACUCAAAAAGAAACUUGAGAGAGAGAGAGAGCCAAGGAGGGUCACGGCUAAGGAAAAAAAAUAAAAAUAAAAAUUUGGAAGCCUUCCAACUUUGGUCCAAAAAUCUUAAUUUUCUUGUAUUCCUACUAAGCUCAAGACGCUCUUCAACGUGGUAUAAUUUUCGGGGCAAGAAAAUACCUUUUGUGGCAAGUGGAGAAUUUUAGAAAAGAUUUUGGACGAAACGGGAAUUGAAUUUGGACAAGCGUAAAAGUCGAAUAAGGUACAGACGACAGAUUUGAUGAUCCGCUUGCUUAGGACUAUAUUCUGCUAUCUUGGAGUGCUCUAUUGUUCGGAGCCUACGUUUUGGUACAGUCUUUUGCCAUUGUACAUAUGUGUGCUAUUCAGGGGUACGACGGGGCCCUGUCCCGUCUUACGAUUCUGAUGUGUUCUGUAGAGGUCUGUAGACAUACAUGUGGGUUCUGUGUAUGCUUUGGGUUGAUAUGAUCUGUGAUAGCCUUAUCGGCUUCUACGUGCUAUAUUCUGUUCAUCUGUAAUAGUUAGUGACGCCAUUUGACUUUUAUAUCUAUAUAUUCUGCUAAUAUGCCGGUUUGGGUUAUGGGGUACGUUCGGGUGUCCAGCACGGACACUAGUCGCGGCCUACGGGGUUGGGUCGUGACACCAGUUGAGUUAGAUAUAUGUAGUAAUACAUCUUUCUACACCAUUUAAGCAAAAAAAAAAAAAAAAAAAAAAAAAAAAAAAAAAAAAAAAAAAAAGAGCUCUAUCACAUCAUCAAUUUUGUAGGUGUAUUGUUGUGUGCGCUACAAAGAAAUAUUAAUUUGGCCCCAGCUUGUUGGCUUCGGACGCCUACAGAUCUUCUGUUAGGUUCGCUAUACAGACAACACCUACUACUGGAUACACCUUCAACUCUGGUAACAAGGAUUUUGCCUUGAUCUCUUCUACCUUUAUUUCUGAUUUUUCUCUGAAGAAGUAUUCUGCCUUCACCUCUUCUAGGUUUAUUUUUGAUUUUUCGAAGGAGGGGGAUAAUGAUCCGAAUGAGGGGGAUAAUGAACCAAAGAAGGGAGAUAAUGAUCGGAAGAAAGGGGAUAAUGAUCCAAAGAAAGAGACUCUCGUUUCUUUGAUUGCCCUUUUCGCAUAGGCUCUCGCCUUUGUCGCAUGUUCUGAAUGUUUUCGGAAGAAUAUUCGCUACUACCUUCGAACAUAUAAACAUUAAACUUAAUGAAACAUAAGUACUUAUC
Lycium barbarum (goji berry) is the source of this 1674-nucleotide long non-coding RNA. RefSeq lists it as uncharacterized. The record is from RefSeq and is a predicted model, not a curated record. Lineage: Eukaryota; Viridiplantae; Streptophyta; Magnoliopsida; Solanales; Solanaceae. The transcript is spliced from 3 exons.